AGAGUUUGAUCCUGGCUCAGAGUGAACGCUGGCGGCGUGCUUAACACAUGCAAGUCGAACGAGAACGGGCCUAGCUUGCUAGGCUGUCAGCUAAGUGGCGGACGGGUGAGUAAUGUAUAGUUAAUCUGCCCCCUAGAGAGGGAUAACAGUUGGAAACGACUGCUAAUACCUCAUACUCCUUCUACCUUAAUGGUAGUUGGGAAAUGUCUUUUCGCUAGGGGAUGAGACUAUAUGGUAUCAGGUAGUUGGUGGGGUAAGAGCCCACCAAGCCUAUGACGCCUAGCUGGUCUGAGAGGAUGAUCAGCCACACUGGAACUGAGACACGGUCCAGACUCCUACGGGAGGCAGCAGUGGGGAAUAUUGCACAAUGGAGGAAACUCUGAUGCAGCAACGCCGCGUGGAGGAUGACGCAUUUCGGUGUGUAAACUCCUUUUAUAUGGGAAGAUAAUGACGGUACCAUAUGAAUAAGCACCGGCUAACUCCGUGCCAGCAGCCGCGGUAAUACGGAGGGUGCAAGCGUUAUUCGGAAUCACUGGGCGUAAAGGACGCGUAGGCGGGAUGCCAAGUCUGAUGUGAAAUCCUAUGGCUUAACCAUAGAACUGCAUUGGAAACUGGUACCCUAGAGUAUGGGAGGGGGAGAUGGAAUUAGUGGUGUAGGGGUAAAAUCCGUAGAUAUCACUAGGAAUACCGAAAGCGAAGGCGAUCUCCUGGAACAAUACUGACGCUAAGGCGUGAAAGCGUGGGGAGCAAACGGGAUUAGAUACCCCGGUAGUCCACGCCGUAAACGAUGUCAACUAACUGUUGGGACCUUAAAGGUCUUAGUGGUGGAGCUAACGUAUUAAGUUGACCGCCUGGGGAGUACGGCCGCAAGGCUAAAACUCAAAUGAAUUGACGGGGGCCCGCACAAGCGGAGGAGCAUGUGGUUUAAUUCGAAGAUACGCGAAGAACCUUACCUAGCCUUGACAUUGAUUGAACACUUUAGAGAUAGAGUGGUGCCCUUCGGGGAACAUGAAAACAGGUGCUGCACGGCUGUCGUCAGCUCGUGUCGUGAGAUGUUGGGUUAAGUCCCGCAACGAGCGCAACCCUCGUCCUUAGUUGCCAGCAGGUUAAGCUGGGCACUCUAAGGAGACUGCCUUCGUAAGGAGGAGGAAGGUGAGGACGACGUCAAGUCAUCAUGGCCCUUAUGGCUAGGGCUACACACGUGCUACAAUGGGGCGUACAGAGAGUUGCGAUACCGCGAGGUGGAGCCAAUCUCAUAAAGCGUCUCUCAGUUCGGAUUGAAGUCUGCAACUCGACUCCGUGAAGUCGGAAUCGCUAGUAAUCGUAGAUCAGAAUGCUACGGUGAAUACGUUCCCGGGUCUUGUACACACCGCCCGUCAUACCAUGGGAGUGGGUUGCACCAGAAGUGGCUAGUCUAACUGUUUACAGGGGACGGUCACCACGGUGUGAUUCAUGACUGGGGUAAAGUCGUAACAAGGUAACC
Molecule: ribosomal RNA, 1483 nt
Filed under: uncultured bacterium
Lineage: Bacteria
Description: bacterial SSU rRNA
Rfam family: Bacterial small subunit ribosomal RNA
Source: RNAcentral